Long non-coding RNA from Megalobrama amblycephala (Wuchang bream), 2888 nucleotides. RefSeq lists it as uncharacterized. The transcript is spliced from 4 exons. The record is from RefSeq and is a predicted model, not a curated record. Lineage: Eukaryota; Metazoa; Chordata; Actinopteri; Cypriniformes; Xenocyprididae.
CCAUUGACUUUUAAUUUAUGGAUAAAAAAACAUUGAGACAUUUCUCAAAAUUUCUUUUUUUUAGGUUCCACAGAUAAAAAGAAAGACAUACUGGUUUGGAGCAACAUGAGGAGAAGAGAUUAUUCAGAUGUAACAUUUGUUCAGAGUGAUGUGAUGGCGCCCAGCGAUCAAUGGUUUCGUCUCAGUCUUGACUGCAGAGUCUCUUGGCACCCAGUCAAACGGAGGAAAAUAACCUUUCCAUCAGAGCGAGGUCAGAUGCAGUCCUUCAUGAUGGAAAAGCACUUUGUCUGGUCAGCUGCUUCAUGACCCUGGACAGGAUGACUACAAUCUCGAACUGCUCGUUCAUGAGGGAGCGCUGAGACAAGUCGAAAAAGGGGCUAUUGGAAUUGAUCUCAUGACAUAUUGUGAGGGGUGAGACAAGAAAGAGCUGGUCAGCACCCGUUCCAAAUCCUACAUCCAAUUCCCGCUGAUCCAAUGGCAGAAACUCUCCCUCAGGGGUUUGACGAGACUAAAGCAAACACAGAGUGAGAUAAGCGAGAUUGGCAGUGAAGUCAGAGUGGUUGGCUGCCUGUGCCGAAGGCCACAGAUGGUGUACAGACUGAGAGCUCCAAUCACGGUGGUGUUCCCAGGAAAAGAGUGAGAGAUUUCACAAGUAUAGAUGCAGUGUCACUGUCACACACACAUACACACUCUUAUUUUCAGGGAAUUGUUAAACACAAGUGCAAAACCUUCAAAGAGGAACAAGAUGUAUGAUGUGAUCGGCUGGUGUGAUAAAGGUAGGGGAGAGAUAUCUGCGGAUAGUCCCUGACUGUUGCUGAAACUAAGGCCCUGUUUACACCUGGUAUUAAGAUGCGUUUUGGUUGAUCGUAUUACAAGUAGACAAGGGAGACGCAUACCGGUUUACACCUGGUGUUUUAAUCCCUCUCUUUUGUCCACUUUCAACCACUUCUGUCCUGAUUUCUUCGAGGUAAGGGUCUAUGGGUGGGUAAAUGUAUGAGUUUUUCAGAUCAAAUGGACAAAAUCAGCUUGUGCAAUUUACAUAUGAAUGUGCACGAAGAUGGCGGAAAAACACAGAGAGCAGCAGCUUUCGUUUCAGCUCUGAAAAGACCAAACCGAACGCUGUGAGUGCAUGUUAGAAAUCAGUAAUGGUGAGAGAACAUUAUGCUUGGUACGUUUUUCAUCUUCAAACCAAACUUGGGUCUUUAGUCAACAAAGUUUAAAUCCCAUCUGGCUAGUGCGCUUCCCAUAAUGUUUUUUUGUGGCUGUUCGAACACAUUCAACCACAUGAGCAUUUACACUGCAAAAGCAAUCUGGUUGAAUGUGUUUUCUGGAAAUAGUUGAAAGUAGACAAGCUCAAAACGUUUUAGACCCUGUUUGCACCAGUAUUUAGUUAAACAGGGCCUAAUUGUGGAUUGCACUUUCCACAUAUAUGUGCAAACCAAAAACAUACAUCAGAAUGUCAUCAUUGUAACUUUUCUCAGUCUUUUUCUUUUUUGCUUGCAAAUUCAAUUUUAAACAUCCAAAAAAAUCUCAUUGUGACAGAUAUUCUGUCCCAAAAAAGAUGAAAGAGUUUAUUCCUAAGGUUUUAACUUUAGAAGAAUAUCACACAAAUGCUCAUAGCCAAGACUAAAGCUACUGAAAUCAAAUACACUUGUCAAAUUUUGAAGAAACAGAAAAAGAGUUCAAACAGCGCAAAAAAAAAAAAAAAAAAAAAAAAAAAAAAAUCAAAAGCUACGACAAGACACUUUUAACAUGCCUUUUUUCAAAGCGAGGCUGCGAGGGGAAGUAAGACAGCUCCCUGGUGUUCAGGAGAAGCUGAGGUUUAGGGGUAAGGAGCUAGGAGACUAAUAUUCCCUUUGUUCCUCACAGCUCGUCCCCAGAAUGAAGUCCCUGGUGAUAUUUAAUCACUCCUGUCAAAUCCCUCUGCCUAAGUGAGAUGCUAUAGAGAGCCCUGCCAUUCUAACCAUGAAACUCUAGGGAUGCAGUUUGAUUUCAUCAUCGUCUUCACGUACAAAAGUUCACAGGAUUUUCCUUCAAAUAUCUGUAGAAAGAAACAUGUCAAAGCUCAUGGGGCAGAGCAUGCAGUUGCCAAUUUAGACAGAUGAGUGCAAGAGACUGUGUUGCAUGCACCUCAAAUGAACUUCUUUGACCUUAGGAAGAACUUUUUCAGUAGCAAAUUUCAAUGACUGUUUGAAAACAGUUUAAUUUCCAUAAUGUGCAUCAUUAUCUUUUUGAGUCGCUCUUAAGACAGCCUGUCUAGUUCAUCUUCUCUGACAUAAGCCAUAGUAAACAGUAAAAGAAAGCAAAAGAGACUGUAAAUUUUAGAGGCGAGACAGGGUGCUUACACUGCAGGCUGCUCUGAGAGCAAUAGAUGGGCUGCUGUUUUAUUUUUCUAACAUUCUGUACAGGACAGUAAUGGACAAAGGGCAGAACAGAAGGGAGGAAGGAGCUUAUGAAGUCAACCAUCCGUCAUCCUGUGCUCACUGCAUUGCGCCUGCUGUGGUGUGGAAAGAGCCAUGUGUCAAUCAUGCUCUUCUUCUUUCAGAACACAGCCUCCCACCCCUCCAGCCCCCCUCUCCGCUUCUGUUCCUUUCUGUUCUGAUCAGUCCCAUGCCUUCCAGUCUUUCUUAUUACAAUUCCAGGAGCUCAUAUUUUCUUUGCCCUGUCCCCAUAUGUUAAAUCCCUCAUAUAUCAUUCUCACUGAGGAAGCACUAGUGAAAUCUGUCAUAAGGAUAUCUGAUGAGAAAAAGAAUAUUUAAUCAGAAUUUUUGUUUGUUUUCCAGUAAAAGCAAAUUUGUGUUAAAAUAAGACUCAUGAUUUUGAACAAAAUUUUCUGUGUGUGUGUGUGCACAUUUUUGUGAUUUAUGAGGGCACACAUUUGUAUAAUG